Molecule: ribosomal RNA, 253 nt
Filed under: uncultured bacterium
Lineage: Bacteria
Description: partial 16S ribosomal RNA
Rfam family: Bacterial small subunit ribosomal RNA
Source: RNAcentral
UACGUAGGGUCCGAGCGUUGUCCGGAAUUAUUGGGCGUAAAGGGCUCGUAGGCGGUCUGUUGCGUCGGGAGUGAAAUCCCUGGGCUUAACCCAGGGCCUGCUUUCGAUACGGGCAGACUAGAGGCAUUCAGGGGAGAACGGAAUUCCUGGUGUAGCGGUGAAAUGCGCAGAUAUCAGGAGGAACACCGGUGGCGAAGGCGGUUCUCUGGGAAUGUUCUGACGCUGAGGAGCGAAAGUGUGGGGAGCGAACAGG